CUUGAAUAUUAUUAUAGAUAGAGAUAAACUGUAAACAGCAAUAAUGUUCAGUAAAGUAAGAUCUACAAAUAAGUCAACAUGACCAAAAUGGUCAGUUGACCCGUUUAGGAGUUAUUGCCCUUUAUAGUCAAUUUUUAACCAUUUUUCGUUAAUUAAAGUAAUCUUUUACAAAAAUCUUCUCCUCUGAAACUACUGGGCAAAUUAAUCCAAACUUGGCCACAAUCAUCUUUGGGGUAUCUAGUUUAAAAAAUGUGUGGCGUGACCUGGUCAACCAACCAAGAUGGCCGCCACGGCUAAAAAUAGAACAAAGGGGUAAAAUGCAGUUUUUGGCUUAUAACUCAAAAACCAAAGCAUUUUGAGGAAAUCUGACAUGGGGAUAAAAAUGUUUAUCAGGUCAAGAUCUAUCUGCCCUAAAAUUUUCAGAUGAAUCGGUCAAUCGGUUGUUGGGUUGCUGCCCCUGAAUUGGUAAUUUUGAGGAAAUUUUGCUGUUUUUGGUUAUUAUCUUGAAUAUUAUUAUAGAUAGAGAUAAACUGUAAACAUCAAUAAUGUUCAGCAAAGUAAGAUCUACAAAUAAGUCAACAUGACCAAAAUGGUCAGUUGACCCGUUUAGGAGUUAUUGCCCUUUAUAGUCAUUUUUUAACCAUUUUUCGUAAAUUAAAGUAAUCUUUUACAAAAAUCUUCUCCUCUGAAACUACUGGGCCAAAUUAAUCCAAACUUGGCCACAAUCAUCUUUGGGGUAUCUAGUUUAAAAAAUGUGUGGCGUGACCUGGUCAACCAACCAAGAUGG
This 787-nucleotide long non-coding RNA is filed under the name Mytilus galloprovincialis (Mediterranean mussel). The record is from RNAcentral. Lineage: Eukaryota; Metazoa; Mollusca; Bivalvia; Mytilida; Mytilidae.